GAUGAACGCUGGCGGCGUGCCUAAUACAUGCAAGUCGAGCGAACAGAUAAGGAGCUUGCUCCUUUGACGUUAGCGGCGGACGGGUGAGUAACACGUGGGUAACCUACCUAUAAGACUGGGAUAACUUCGGGAAACCGGAGCUAAUACCGGAUAACAUUUGGAACCGCAUGGUUCUAAAGUGAAAGAUGGUUUUGCUAUCACUUAUAGAUGGACCCGCGCCGUAUUAGCUAGUUGGUAAGGUAACGGCUUACCAAGGCGACGAUACGUAGCCGACCUGAGAGGGUGAUCGGCCACACUGGAACUGAGACACGGUCCAGACUCCUACGGGAGGCAGCAGUAGGGAAUCUUCCGCAAUGGGCGAAAGCCUGACGGAGCAACGCCGCGUGAGUGAUGAAGGGUUUCGGCUCGUAAAACUCCGUUAUUAGGGAAGAACAAAUGUGUAAGUAACUGUGCACGUCUUGACGGUACCUAAUCAGAAAGCCACGGCUAACUACGUG
RNAcentral lists this ribosomal RNA (497 nucleotides) under uncultured bacterium. RNAcentral's name for it is "partial 16S ribosomal RNA". It matches the Rfam family "Bacterial small subunit ribosomal RNA", at positions 28 to 507 of the family's 1533-position model. The record is from RNAcentral.